GUAGGUGGAAGGGAGCUGGUUUUUAGUCGUUGCUCGAUAUUCCAGCUCCUUUCUGUAGAAAACUUUUCGGCAUUUCUUAAAUUAUGAAAUAAACUCUGACCCGCGGCCGCAUGCAGUGGGUUUAACCCCGUCUGCGCUGCCAAGGGCAUGUAAAUGGAGACUGCAGCUUUAAACACCUGGCACGGUCUGGCUGGCGUCGGCUUUAAAUUACUGGAUGUUUGUGCUGCCGAGAAAACGUCUCAAAUCUGUAAACUUUACAUUGUUUUUACUUAAAUUCCGGUUCCGCUGGACGUUAACUGUUAUUAUAUACUGCACAUAAAACCAGAAUCACGCGUUUAACCUUAACUUAGUGAAAUAUAAAGGGAAAGACUGUAAAGCAUUAAAAAUAAAUAUUUAAAUAUAAGUUUCUGUGGUUUAAUUGGUCAUUGUAAUUUCCAGAUACUUAACUACAACUCCCAUGAUUCUCGGCCAGAUGGGGGGGGGGCGGCUUGUACUCUGCAUUAAUAAUUGUCCAGAGUGAUUAUUGGGGUAUUUGAUCACAUGAUCUUAAACCUGCUAUCUGCAGUUAACCCUGUCCAUGCCAGGCAGCUUUCACAUCCUGAAAAACAAAAUGAGGCGUAUUGUAUUAUUUUUGAAGCCGGUGUAUUUGGUUUAUCGAUAAGGUGCAGCCGUGUGAGAUUUGGGGAGUCAGUGACUUCUUUUGGUGCAUGAAGAGCACUUAUACCCCUUCCCGGUGUCCUUUACCACAUUUAGGGCUAACUGGACCCUAAAAAAAACAAACGCCUAUUUCCAAAAAAAAAUGUAAUAUUCUGGGUUGUGUCCUUGUAAUUAGUUUCUGGUUUGAGACGGUAAAUGCAGAUUUUCCAUUUCUUUAUUUAAUAAAAGCUGAUAGAUCUUAA
Molecule: long non-coding RNA, 899 nt
Organism: Spea bombifrons (plains spadefoot toad)
Lineage: Eukaryota; Metazoa; Chordata; Amphibia; Anura; Pelobatidae
Exons: 2
Source: RefSeq, a predicted model, not a curated record